RNAcentral lists this transfer RNA (61 nucleotides) under Pochazia shantungensis. RNAcentral's name for it is "tRNA-Gly". Lineage: Eukaryota; Metazoa; Arthropoda; Insecta; Hemiptera; Ricaniidae. The record is from RNAcentral.
GUUCUCUUAGUAUAAAAAGUAUAAUUGACUUCCAAUCAAAAGGUUAAGUUUUAAGAGAAUA